This 253-nucleotide ribosomal RNA is filed under the name uncultured bacterium. Its description in RNAcentral is "partial 16S ribosomal RNA". It matches the Rfam family "Bacterial small subunit ribosomal RNA", at positions 524 to 776 of the family's 1533-position model. The record is from RNAcentral.
UACGUAGGGGGCAAGCGUUGUCCGGAAUCAUUGGGCGUAAAGCGCGCGUAGGUGGCCCGGUAAGUCCGCUCUGAAAGUCAAAGGCUCAACCUUUGAAAGCGGGUGGAUACUGUCGGGCUAGAGUCCGGAAGAGGCGAGUGGAAUUCCUGGUGUAGCGGUGGAAUGCGCAGAUAUCAGGAGGAACACCGGUGGCGAAGGCGGGUCUCUGGGCCGAUACUGACGCUGAGGAGCGAAAGCAUGGGGAGCGAACAGG